GGGGGCGUGGUGUAGCGGUUAACAUGCCUGCCUGUCACGCAGGAGAUCGCGGGUUCGAUUCCCGUCGCUCCCGCCA
Molecule: transfer RNA, 76 nt
Filed under: Bacillota bacterium
Lineage: Bacteria; Bacillati; Bacillota
Description: tRNA-Asp
Rfam family: tRNA
About the family: Transfer RNA (tRNA) molecules are approximately 80 nucleotides in length. Their secondary structure includes four short double-helical elements and three loops (D, anti-codon, and T loops).
Source: RNAcentral